Long non-coding RNA from Rhagoletis zephyria (snowberry fruit fly), 207 nucleotides. RefSeq lists it as uncharacterized. The record is from RefSeq and is a predicted model, not a curated record. Lineage: Eukaryota; Metazoa; Arthropoda; Insecta; Diptera; Tephritidae.
UUAACAAAAUUGUAUCUCCGCUCAGCUCUGUUAACUUGCCGCUCAGAUCUGUUAAUUUGCCGCUCUCAAUUUUCGAUUCGAGUGGUGAGCUUCUAGAGCGAUUUUGGUAGUGUUUGACAAUUCACACGGCUAUUCGUAAUUGCCGCUUCUCUGUUUUAAACGUUCUCUGUUCUUGCGAUACAGGAAUGAUAGAAUACAAGAUUGCGC